RNAcentral lists this ribosomal RNA (314 nucleotides) under uncultured Oscillospiraceae bacterium. RNAcentral's name for it is "bacterial SSU rRNA". It matches the Rfam family "Bacterial small subunit ribosomal RNA", at positions 355 to 680 of the family's 1533-position model. The record is from RNAcentral. Lineage: Bacteria; Bacillati; Bacillota; Clostridia; Eubacteriales; Oscillospiraceae.
UGGGGAAUAUUGGGGCAAUGGGGGGAAACCCUGACCCAGCAACGCCGCGUGAAGGAAGAAGGCUUUUCGGGUUGUAAACUUCUUUUACCAGGGACGAAGGACGUGACGGUACCUGGAGAAAAAGCCACGGCUAACUACGUGCCAGCAGCCGCGGUAAUACGUAGGUGGCAAGCGUUGUCCGGAUUUACUGGGUGUAAAGGGCGUGUAGGCGGAGAAGCAAGUCAGAAGUGAAAUCCAUGGGCUUAACCCAUGAACUGCUUUUGAAACUGUUUCCCUUGAGUAUCGGAGAGGCAGGCGGAAUUCCUAGUGUAGCG